GAGGAUAGCUCUUACUGCUAUUUGUAUGUGCAGGCUCGUAUUUUAAAUCUUUCAGGUUUAAUUUCUAAUAUAGUAAAUAUUAAUAGAUACAACACACUAAAAAUACCCGAGAGGCUAAAAUAUGAGAGUGAGACUAGCAGCAAAACACACCCUUUCUGUGAUCUCAGAAUCAAGAUACCUGCAAAACAAUUUGAUGAGAAGAAAAAGAAGUAUAUCUGAAGGAAUGGGGAGGGAGCUGACAGGAAAACCAGAAACUACAGAGAAACUGGAGAAACAGCACAAUGCAGAGAAAAGAAACUAUCUGGAAAGCUCACUCCAGCUCCCAGGUAGCCACCACAAGAGUUGAGGUGGGAGAUAGCAAUAAACAGUUGUGGAGAGGGCACAGGCUACACAGAGCCCACCUGAGAAGUUUAAGACAGAAGGUCACAGGGGCCCCGCCCUCUGAGGAUCCUUUAUCUCACUUUUUGUAUCAGUAUUUACUAGAGAGAUGUAAUACAAGAUAUACAAAUAUACAAGAAUUUACAAGAUUGGCUUACAGUGGCCACCCACAGAGCUGGAUGAGGAACAGUGCAGAGGGUGUCUGCACACGAGAUCGAAGGAUUUAGUAGGUCUGGAGCUCCCUGCAGUGUAACCAUGAGUCUGUAUCAGAUGGCCAAUGGCGUCUGUGAUGGAAGGCUAAAGGAUCUACACUGGAAGCUAAGAGUCUUUGUUGCAAGGCAGGAGAUGAUGUCCAAGGUGAAGACAGAAGUCUCUCCAAAGGAACAGAAGCAGCUACGUCCUUCUUCAUUUCCCCUUUAUAACAUCCAGGGAAGGAGCCCCCCCAUCUCCCAUGCCUUAGGGUGUGGAAUUGCUGAGCUGAUUUAGCUUUUCUUUUCUUUUUUUUCCUUUUUUGGUACUGGGGAUGGAACUCAGGACCUUGAGCUUGUGAGGCAGGUGGCAGAACCACUGAGCUAAAUCCCUGGCUUAGCUAAGCUUUUCUUAACCAAACUUCUCAAGUUGACUGAAUAAUUCAACUAUCACACUUUACUUUUUCUCUUUUCACCUUUUUUCUUUAUUUCUCAG
Molecule: long non-coding RNA, 1062 nt
Filed under: Fukomys damarensis (Damara mole-rat)
Lineage: Eukaryota; Metazoa; Chordata; Mammalia; Rodentia; Bathyergidae
Description: lncRNA (ENSFDAG00000031705.1)
Source: RNAcentral